GCGUAGCAGGACCCUCGUCUGC
Molecule: microRNA, 22 nt
Filed under: Branchiostoma belcheri (Belcher's lancelet)
Lineage: Eukaryota; Metazoa; Chordata; Leptocardii; Amphioxiformes; Branchiostomatidae
Description: bbe-miR-4891-3p
Source: miRBase by way of RNAcentral